This is a long non-coding RNA of Dreissena polymorpha, 2571 nucleotides long. RefSeq lists it as uncharacterized. Lineage: Eukaryota; Metazoa; Mollusca; Bivalvia; Myida; Dreissenidae. The transcript is spliced from 5 exons. The record is from RefSeq and is a predicted model, not a curated record.
CCUAGGAGAGUUUCGUCUUGUGUCUUGCUGAAGGGACAACAUAUGUGGUGAUUUGGAUCUUACGUGUAUGCAUAACUCAAUUAAAAUAUGGCCGGAGAUGAAUGCUUGUCUAAGGUAGCAACCUUCAUCCAAGAACUUAAGGCACUUAGAUCUCUUGUGAAAGGUACACGAACAGAGGAGCCUGUGUUAUGCGACAUAUUUACCUGGAUCUGUCAUGAGCUGUACAAUGACAUUGAACUGAAGCCAUUAGCUCUACGACAUGCAAUACAAAAAAACAUUUUAAUAGACCGUAAAGAUAUAACAGAGAUCCUCAUAGAUAUAUUUACCGGAGCUGGGCAGAAAACUAGCAAGUUAAAUGCACUGCAAAAUGAAGUACUUGACCCACAGUAUGACCAGGCAAAUUAUGUUAUAUAUUUGUAUUGCCUAGCAACGUUUGUUGACCUUGACAUUUAUGUCGUGAAUUCUGAGGUCGACAAUGAAUUUAAAUGGAUGGAAUACAAGUCCUUAAAAAUACUGAACAUCGAACAAAAAAUAGAUUACAUAAACAAGACGUACACGUUUGAUGUGAACAGAGCUAAUAAAACACCAGGUUUCCUGAUGUCGUACAUGCAUAUGGAUGCGAACGGACUGCAUAUGUAUAUGAUACGACCAGAAUCAAGCCGACCUCAGAGGCCUAAAUGUCGAGGAAUGGUCGAGAUUGCUGCACGGCAAUUAAAAUGUACUCCACUAGAUGCAAUUACAGUGCCGAACUGGUUGGUAGUUGAUGUUCAACAGAAUGCCGCUCAGAUACCAACGACUUGCAAACGUAUCAGACUCUGGGUAGAAGAACUUUGUCGUGAAACAGACUGCCGGCACAUUUAUGAAAGGGUAAUUGAGGUCCCAAAUUAAGACUCCUGGACUCGACUAAAUGUUCCAUUUGCCGAUUACACACUCCGCCUGAAGUUAACAAAUCAUUUGUCAGACUCGUCAAGUGAAAAUGUGUUAACAUUCUGCAAGAUAGCCCAUUAAAACAUAAAUACGCAGUCUUACGCAAGUUUGAGACGGAAGUAGGGAAAUUCAAUGAUGCUAUAUCAAUUGGGACGAUGCCGUCGGAAUUGAAAGAAAGGAGGGGAAGAGUCAACAAUGCAGUUAUUGGUUUAUCACUAUCUGGCAUAGUAGGAGGAAUGAUUGGAAAUUGUUGGUCUUGCUCUUAUACCAGUUACAUUCGGGGCAUCAUUGGGUCUAACUAUUGCCGGUGGUGUGAUUGGUGCCUCAAGCGGAAUAGCGCAAGGAGUUUUCCGCAUUCACGAAGCGGUUAAGCAGAACAAAUCAACUGCUCAAAUAAGGGCAACGUUGGAAAAGGAAAGAGGAGACUUUGAAAAAGCGCUUACAGAUUUCACGGAAGAAUUCAAUGUAGAUGCCAUUGGAAACAGCGGCCCUGAAAGUCCAGGUUUGAACAUUCGAGGUAGUUUGUCAAUAGGUGCGAUUUUACGGUCAGUUCAUAGCGGUGUUGGGAUAGGUUUGGCUGCUACUUAAGUUGGGGCCUCCGCUGCAACAGCAGCGGCAUCCGUUCUAGCUCCAGUUGGUCUUAUCCUGGACUUUGCUUUUAUUGCAGACUCGCUGUGUGACAAGCUAAAUGGUAAUCACACCGGAGCUGGAAGGAAACUUGAAUGUUUACGAGUAUUUCAGACUGUUGUUAAUGCAGCAUACAGGGGAAAUGCUGACUUAAGCACAAACAUUGUAGAAAGCAUAUUGCAUAACGACUAAAGGGUUAAGAAUAAAUAUACAUAUGGACAGGCUAAAUACUUUUGAAAAUCGUAUUAUUAUCUGUUUAACUCAUUUAGUUCAUCCAUGUUAUUGGCUGGCUUUAUUGUGUCAUUCGUAUCACAUAGGUAUUGUAGUUUUUAGCUCAUCCCAAUAAAUGAAACGACACAACUGAUGCUUCAGCCGAAAAAAACGUUUAGAUAAUCCCAUUCUAAUACAUCUUAUUUUAGUGUAACCAUAUGUUUAAAUGCCGAUUUUUUUUAAGUGGAUGAUGUUUCCACUACUAUCAUGUACAAUUGUUCCACUGGUCAUGCACUUGUAUGGUUAAAAGAAUUAUUGUAAAAACAAGAACCAGGACGCACAUUUAGAUUCGAUACUAGUAGAUUGAGUCAAUGAUGUUAUGCAAUUCAUUUUAAUAAUCGCAAUUCAGUGAAAGAAGCAUGAGAAAAAUUGGACAAAUACUAUUCAAUGGGUAGCAAAUGGGACAAAUACUGUGGAAUGGGCUACUCUUAAAAAGAAACUAUCAGUUCGUUUUCAUAUAACUCAAAAGUUUAUUCGUCAAAACAGUGAGUAAAACUUUUAAAUUUUAUUGAUGUGAUUGACUUGCUUAUGAACUUAAAACUCGUUUGAAAUUACUGUUAAGUAUGUUUUGUAUAAUCCAUAUUUUCAUUAAUGCUUAUUUGUUAUGUCUUUUAUCGUGCAUGUGUGUUUUGGUGUGUUGAUAAUUAUGACUUUGCAUUUUUCCAACUGAUUUAAAGUAGCCACAUAUAAAUUUUAUCUAUUGACGUUUAUCGAUGCAUUCGUAUUAAAAAUGUUAUAUUUUGAUGA